CCUACGGGGGGCAGCAGUGGGGGAUAUUGCACAAUGGGCGCAAGCCUGAUGCAGCGACGCCGCGUGAGCGAAGAAGUAUUUCGGUAUGUAAAGCUCUAUCAGCAGGGAAGAAAAUGACGGUACCUGACUAAGAAGCUCCGGCUAAAUACGUGCCAGCAGCCGCGGUAAUACGUAUGGAGCAAGCGUUAUCCGGAUUUACUGGGUGUAAAGGGGGCGCAGACGGCAAUGCAAGCCAGGAGUGAAAGCCCGGGGCCCAACCCCGGGACUGCUCUUGGAACUGCAUGGCUGGAGUACAGGAGGGGCAG
Molecule: ribosomal RNA, 305 nt
Filed under: uncultured bacterium
Lineage: Bacteria
Description: bacterial SSU rRNA
Rfam family: Bacterial small subunit ribosomal RNA
Source: RNAcentral